RNAcentral lists this ribosomal RNA (1401 nucleotides) under uncultured bacterium. RNAcentral describes it as "bacterial SSU rRNA". It matches the Rfam family "Bacterial small subunit ribosomal RNA". The record is from RNAcentral.
UUAGAGUUUGAUCCUGGCUCAGGAUGAACGCUAGCGGCAGGCUUAACACAUGCAAGUCGAGGGGCAGCGAGAUCAGUGCUUGCACUGAUUGUCGGCGACCGGCGCACGGGUGCGUAACGCGUAUGCAACCUACCCAUUACAGGGGGAUAACACUGAGAAAUCGGUACUAAUACCCCAUAACAUCCAGGGAGGCAUCUUCUUGGGUUGAAAACUCCGGUGGUAAUGGAUGGGCAUGCGUUGUAUUAGUUAGUUGGUGGGGUAACGGCUCACCAAGACAACGAUACAUAGGGGGACUGAGAGGUUAACCCCCCACAUUGGUACUGAGACACGGACCAAACUCCUACGGGAGGCAGCAGUGAGGAAUAUUGGUCAAUGGACGCAAGUCUGAACCAGCCAUGCCGCGUGCAGGAAGACGGCUCUAUGAGUUGUAAACUGCUUUUGUACGAGGGUAAACGCAGAUACGCGUAUCUGUCUGAAAGUAUCGUACGAAUAAGGAUCGGCUAACUCCGUGCCAGCAGCCGCGGUAAUACGGAGGAUUCAAGCGUUAUCCGGAUUUAUUGGGUUUAAAGGGUGCGUAGGCGGUCGGAUAAGUUAGAGGUGAAAUCCCGGGGCUCAACUUCGGAAUUGCCUCUGAUACUGUUCGGCUAGAGAGUAGUUGCGGUAGGCGGAAUGUAUGGUGUAGCGGUGAAAUGCUUAGAGAUCAUACAGAACACCGAUUGCGAAGGCAGCUUACCAAGCUACUUCUGACGUUGAGGCACGAAAGCGUGGGGAGCAAACAGGAUUAGAUACCCUGGUAGUCCACGCAGUAAACGAUGAUAACUCGUUGUCGGCGAUACAGUGUCGGUGACUAAGCGAAAGCGAUAAGUUAUCCACCUGGGGAGUACGUUCGCAAGAAUGAAACUCAAAGGAAUUGACGGGGGCCCGCACAAGCGGAGGAACAUGUGGUUUAAUUCGAUGAUACGCGAGGAACCUUACCCGGGCUUGAAAGUUAGUGACGGAUCUUGAAAGAGGUCUUCCCUUCGGGGCAUGAAACUAGGUGCUGCAUGGUUGUCGUCAGCUCGUGCCGUGAGGUGUCGGGUUAAGUCCCAUAACGAGCGCAACCCCUACCGUUAGUUGCCAGCAGGUCAAGCUGGGCACUCUGACGGGACUGCCGGUGUAAGCCGAGAGGAAGGUGGGGAUGACGUCAAAUCAGCACGGCCCUUACGUCCGGGGCUACACACGUGUUACAAUGGCAGGUACAGAGGGCAGCUACCCAGCGAUGGGAUGCGAAUCUCGAAAGCCUGUCUCAGUUCGGAUUGGAGGCUGAAACCCGCCUCCAUGAAGUUGGAUUCGCUAGUAAUCGCGCAUCAGCCAUGGCGCGGUGAAUACGUUCCCGGGCCUUGUACUAGACCGCCCGUCAAG